UGGGGAAUAUUGCACAAUGGGCGCAAGCCUGAUGCAGCCAUGCCGCGUGUGUGAAGGCCUUCGGGUUGUAAAGCACUUUCAGCGGGGAGGAAGGCGAUAAGGUUAAUAACCUUGUCGAUUGACGUUACCCGCAGAAGAAGCACCGGCUAACUCCGUGCCAGCAGCCGCGGUAAUACGGAGGGUGCAAGCGUUAAUCGGAAUUACUGGGCGUAAAGCGCACGCAGGCGGUCUGUCAAGUCGGAUGUGAAAUCCCCGGGCUCAACCUGGGAACUGCAUUCGAAACUGGCAGGCUGGAGUCUUGUAGAGGGGGGUAGAAUUCCAGGUGUAGCGGUGAAAUGCGUAGAGAUCUGGAGGAAUACCGGUGGCGAAGGCGGCCCCCUGGACAAAGACUGACGCUCAGGUGCGAAAGCGUGGGGAGCAAACAGG
Molecule: ribosomal RNA, 426 nt
Filed under: Chloroflexota bacterium
Lineage: Bacteria; Bacillati; Chloroflexota
Description: Chloroflexi bacterium partial 16S ribosomal RNA
Rfam family: Bacterial small subunit ribosomal RNA
Source: RNAcentral